RNAcentral lists this long non-coding RNA (670 nucleotides) under Pan troglodytes (chimpanzee). RNAcentral describes it as "lincRNA". The record is from RNAcentral. Lineage: Eukaryota; Metazoa; Chordata; Mammalia; Primates; Hominidae.
GGCAGGACUCAGCCUGGAGGCCCAUAUUUCAGGCCUAACUCAGCCCACCCCACAUCAGGGACAGCAGUCCUGCCAGCACCAUCACAACAGUCACCUCCCUUCAUAUAUGACACCCCAAAACGGAAGACAAAUCAUGGCAUCAGGGAGCUAUAUGCCAGGGCUACCUCCCAGGGCUCAGUCGGCAGGUGCCAGAACAUUCCCUGGGAAGGCCCCAGGAAAACCCAGGACCGAGCCACCGCCCUCAGCCUGUCACCUUGUGUCCAAAAUUGGUGGGUUCUUGGUCUCACUGACUUCAAGAAUGAAGCCGUGGACCCUCGCAGACUGGCCACCUCUCUGGGCCCUCAGGGAUGCUGCUGUCCGGACCCCUGACCAGUGACGAGUUUGCACUCGGGGCCAGGCUGGCGCUGGAGGAGAACACUUGUUUGGCUCCAACCCUAGGAAGAAGAGGGAUCCAGCAGUGAGAUCAGGCAGGUUCUGUGUUGCACAGACAGGGAAACAGGCUCUGUCCACACAAAGUCGGUGGGGCCAGGAUGAGGCCCAGUCUGUUCACAUAUGGCUGCUGCCUCUCAGCUCUGCACAGACGUCCUCGCUCCCCUGGGAUGGCAGCUUGGCCUGCUGGUCUUGGGGUUGAGCCAGCCUCCAGCACUGCCUCCCUGCCCUGCUGCCUCCC